CGUUUACGCAUUUAUCUGUCUGCUAUUUUCACGAGAUAUUAUUCUCUUCUUUUUAUUUUUAUUUCUUCUAAUCUUAUUUCUUCUAAUCUUUUUUGAAUAUGCUUUCACCAUUUUAUGCUCUUUUUCGAAUAUACUUUCACCAUUUUAUACUCUUAUUUAUCUAACAUUUUUGCGAGAUUUUAAUUCCCGUAGAACGACUAUUUAAUUCCUUUUAAUUCUUAUAAAACAUAGCCUUUAUUAUUACGAAUUUUGCUUUCAUAUGAACCUUGGUGAUUGGUCUGGCUGCCAAGGUUGGUCUGGCUUGACUGCCUUCGCGCUCCUUCAAGUCCUAUUUGGCCAUAAAACCAGAUUUUAGUUGGUCUGACCGUCUUUUUUGCUUUCAUAUAAAACAUAGCCUUUAUUAUUACGAAUUUUGCUUUCAUAUGAACCUUGGUGAUUGGUCUGGCUUGACUGCCUUCGCGCUCCUUCAAGUCCUAUUUGGCCAUAAAACCAGAUUUUAGUUGGUCUGACCGUCUUUUUUGCUUUCAUAUGAACCUUGGUGAUUGGUCCGGCUUGACUGCCUUCGCGCUCCUUCAAGUCCUAUUUGGCCAUAAAACCAGAUUUUAGUUGAUCGGUCAGUCUUACGCGACACAUUAUGAGCCUACGUCAUAUUAGCCCGAGCCUCUUCAAUAUGGGCUGCUGUGUGCUGACUGUCCAAGACUCAUUAGUCAUCAAUAUUUUUUUAUAAUUUCUAUAAAAAAAUGAAUAGAAAUUUUUUUACUCCAAAAAUAUUAAUAGACUUUUAUUAAUUAAAAAUUCUAUUGAUAAGCCCUCACAACCCAACUUUGAUUCUAUGAAGAAGUACACAAGAAUAUCACUAGACAACAAUUAGCCAGCAGAUAUCCAUUAGGGAGUAGCUAUCUAAUUACACAACACAAGGGUGAUAAGACUAGCAGAAUAAGCUUACAAAAGGAAGAAAUAAGAGAUAAUACUGAAGUUUUUCGUUGUGAUUUCUGAUUACUACUUCAUAUCUAUGAAAACAAGAAAACAAGAAAAAAAGGGGAAAAANNNNN
This 1052-nucleotide long non-coding RNA is filed under the name Manihot esculenta (cassava). RNAcentral describes it as "long non-coding RNA (MESC_LNC012565)". Lineage: Eukaryota; Viridiplantae; Streptophyta; Magnoliopsida; Malpighiales; Euphorbiaceae. The record is from RNAcentral.